CCUACGGGAGGCAGCAGUAAGGGAUAUUGGUCAAUGGGGGAAACCCUGAACCAGCAACGCCGCGUGAGGGAAGACGGUUUUCGGAUUGUAAACCUCUGUCCUCUGUGAAGAUGAUGACGGUAGCAGAGGAGGAAGCUCCGGCGAACUACGUGCCAGCAGCCGCGGUAAUACGUAGGGAGCGAGCGUUGUCCGGAUUUACUGGGUGGAAAGGGUGCGUAGGCGGCUUGGCAAGUCAGUAGUGAAAUCCCUGGGCUUAACCCAUGAACUGCUAUUGAAACUGUCGAGCUUGAGUGAAGUAGAGGUAGGCGGACUUCCCGGUGUAGCGGUGAAAUGCGUCGAGAUCGGGAGGAACACCAGUGGCGAAGGCGGCCUACUGGGCUUUAACUGACGCUGAGGCACGAAAGCGUGGGUAGCACACAGGAUUAGAUACCCUAGUAGUC
RNAcentral lists this ribosomal RNA (440 nucleotides) under uncultured bacterium. Its description in RNAcentral is "partial 16S ribosomal RNA". It matches the Rfam family "Bacterial small subunit ribosomal RNA", at positions 338 to 795 of the family's 1533-position model. The record is from RNAcentral.